AUUUGAUUUAGGGUUUAGGAUUUGGAUUAAGGUUUGGUUAGAGUUUGAUUUAGGGUUUAGGAUUUGGUUAGGAUUUGGUUUAGGGUUUGGUUGGGGUUUGGUUUAAGAUUUAUUUAGGGUUUGAUUUAGGGUUUAGGAUUUUAUUAGGAUUUAAGAUUCAAUUAGUUUUGGCAUAAAGUUUAAAUGAAGUUCAAUAGGAUUUUAACUAGAAUUAAAUUAAGAUUGAAUUGAGAUGUAUUUGAGUGAUAUUUGUAAUCCUUCUAAUAUUUCUUUAAGAAUUCUUAUUGUUUGUUUGAAAUUUCUUUGAGGUUUUUUUGAAUUUGAUUAAGCUUGCUUAGCAUUAUUAUGGUCUAAUUAGAGUAUUGUUAGUAUUCUCUUAGAAUUAGGAUUUUGUCAUUAAAAUUUCCAUUCUUCCUUCCACAACGAGGUGUCCAGAGCAUUCUCAAGCAAGACUUCACGUAUUACGACACUACUGUCCAGGUAGAGAGAGUUGGCCUCAAGAAAUCGCUGUGCUUCUGGCUAUCACUAAUUAUUCAAUUUAGCUUGAAAAUAAGAGAAGUCCUAAGUUUAUAUAUAAAUUUUCCCUUUUUGAGUAAUUACACCAAAUACACAAUCCUCA
This 619-nucleotide long non-coding RNA is filed under the name Physcomitrium patens. Its description in RNAcentral is "long non-coding RNA (PPAT_LNC009875)". The record is from RNAcentral. Lineage: Eukaryota; Viridiplantae; Streptophyta; Bryopsida; Funariales; Funariaceae.